RNAcentral lists this transfer RNA (72 nucleotides) under Sporothrix schenckii ATCC 58251. RNAcentral describes it as "tRNA-Gln (TTG) (tRNA-Gln-TTG-1-1)". It matches the Rfam family "tRNA". Rfam says of the family: Transfer RNA (tRNA) molecules are approximately 80 nucleotides in length. Lineage: Eukaryota; Fungi; Ascomycota; Sordariomycetes; Ophiostomatales; Ophiostomataceae. The record is from RNAcentral.
GGUCCAUUAGUCUAGUGGUUAGGACACUGGAUUUUGAUUCCAGGAACGCCGGUUCGAGUCCGGCAUGGACCU